Erinaceus europaeus (western European hedgehog) is the source of this 603-nucleotide long non-coding RNA. RefSeq lists it as uncharacterized. The transcript is spliced from 2 exons. Lineage: Eukaryota; Metazoa; Chordata; Mammalia; Eulipotyphla; Erinaceidae. The record is from RefSeq and is a predicted model, not a curated record.
GCGCAAGAGAGGCAGCAUGUGUCUCUGGCGCUGUAGAAACAGUGGUGGACAGGGGUGCAGGGUACAGCAAGGUGGGCAAAUGGAGAGGUCAGCGGCUCCGAUAAAAAUAAAACCAGAAUCGCCCAGAUGUGUUCGCCUUGAAGUGAAAAGGGCAAACGAGGCAUGAUCCAUCUUCCUUGUCUGGACAAGCUUAGUCUGGCCUCCUCCUCCUGCUGAAGCAGGCCUAAGGUAUGUGCCAGGAAUCCUUGUCAUAAACUAAUUAUCACAUUCCAGAAUGUGUGGAGACUGCCUUUGGGCCUUUAGAAAGCUCUACUCCGACCCUCGACCCUCCCUGGUUGUGGCCCUCACCACAGGGUGAGGAAACUGUGGGGUCACAGGGAUGUGCUCUUCCAGAAUUAUCUCGUCUAGACCACACUGGAAAACCUGGGGCUGCCUUGGAAUUCUUUGCCCAUGUGCCCCAAUCCCUCUUUCAAGGUCAGCUUUGUCCCCAUUCCCAUCCUCCUCCCAGGAGCUCACUGUGUCACUACUAUGUCCAUUUCUUAGGCCACGGGGAGCGUGUUUGCAGAGGGUUGGAUGGAUCAGCAGCAAGGUCCACACUUGUAA